GAUGAAGAACGUAGCGAAAUGCGAUAAGUAAUGUGAAUUGCAGAAUUCAGUGAAUCAUCGGAUCUUUGAACGCACCUUGCGCCCUCUGGUAUUCCGGAGGGCAUGCCUGUUUGAGUGUCAUGAACACCUCACCCCCUCGGGUUUCCGAUUGGGUGGAUUUGGGUGCUGCCAGUUACAUGGCUCGCCUUAAACGCAUUAGCGGUUGUUGACGUAAUAAGUUUCGUCUUGUCGACCGCUUCUAAUCUCCUUCGGGAUGUCUUUCGGGACACUUCAUGAUCUGACCUCAAAUCAGGUAGGACUACCCGCUGAACUUAAGCAUAUCAAUAAGCGGAGGA
This 335-nucleotide unclassified non-coding RNA is filed under the name soil metagenome. Its description in RNAcentral is "partial contains 5.8S ribosomal RNA, internal transcribed spacer 2, and large subunit ribosomal RNA". The stretch from base 1 to 120 matches the Rfam family "5.8S ribosomal RNA", at positions 35 to 154 of the family's 154-position model. The record is from RNAcentral.